UACAGAGGUGGCAAGCGUUGUUCGGAAUUACUGGGCGUAAAGGGCGCGUAGGUGGCCAUCUAAGUCAGACGUGAAAUCCCCCGGCUUAACCUGGGAACUGCGUCUGAUACUGGACGGCUUGAGUAUGGGAGAGGAACGUAGAAUUCCAGGUGUAGCGGUGAAAUGCGUAGAUAUCUGGAGGAAUACCGGUGGCGAAGGCAAUCCCCUGGGCCUGUACUGACGCUCAUGCACGAAAGCGUGGGGAGCAAACAGG
This 253-nucleotide ribosomal RNA is filed under the name uncultured bacterium. RNAcentral's name for it is "partial 16S ribosomal RNA". It matches the Rfam family "Bacterial small subunit ribosomal RNA", at positions 524 to 776 of the family's 1533-position model. The record is from RNAcentral.